GGUUGUGAGGCUGAUGUGAUUAUGAUAUCUGCCACUCACUGAUCACUAGAGUUAAUUUGGUUGAUCCGGCUGGCUAACCUGGUGGCCCCUUCCUCCGUUACCUUUCCAUGUGGUUCACUCCCAAUACUUCACACUUGAUCAAAGAGGAUGACCUUCCCUGAUAGAGGAGGAUUAUACUUCAUUCCAGGGUAUAUGAGUAACUGUGCUUCCCACCUAGAACUUCCAAACAAGCUCUCAAAAUUGAGUAGUUGGUUGUAAUAGCUGCAAAACAAGAUUAUGUAGAUAAUUAUAUACUAUUUUAAUU
RNAcentral lists this small nuclear RNA (304 nucleotides) under Nannospalax galili (Upper Galilee mountains blind mole rat). Its description in RNAcentral is "7SK RNA (ENSNGAG00000008070.1)". It matches the Rfam family "7SK RNA". From Rfam's summary of the family: 7SK was discovered as an abundant small nuclear RNA in the mid-70s but a possible function has only recently been suggested. Lineage: Eukaryota; Metazoa; Chordata; Mammalia; Rodentia; Spalacidae. The record is from Rfam by way of RNAcentral.